UUGGAGGGCAAGUCUGGUGCCAGCAGCCGCGGUAAUUCCAGCUCCAAUAGCGUAUAUUAAAGUUGUUGCAGUUAAAAAGCUCGUAGUUGAAUUUCGGGGUUAGUAGGUUGGUCAUGCCACUGGUAUGUACUGAUCUUACUGAUUCCUCCUUCCUGAUGAACCGUAAUGCCAUUAAUUUGGUGUUGCGGGGAGACUGGACUGUUACUUUGAAAAAAUUAGAGUGUUUAAAGCAGGCUAACGCUUGAAUACAUUAGCAUGGAAUAAUGAAAUAGGACGUUCGAUCCUAUUUUGUUGGUUUCUAGGAUUGACGUAAUGAUUAAUAGGGAUAGUUGGGGGCAUUAGUAUUCAAUUGUCAGAGGUGAAAUUCUUGGAUUUAUUGAAGACUAACUACUGCGAAAGCAUUUGCCAAGGAUGUUUUCAUUAAUCAAGAACGAAAGUUAGGGGAUCGAAGACGAUCAGAUGCCGUCGUAGUCUUAACCAUAAACUAUGCCGACUAGGGAUCGGAUGAUGUUAAUUUUUUAAUGACUCAUUCGGCGCCUUACGGGAAAC
RNAcentral lists this ribosomal RNA (549 nucleotides) under uncultured Glomus. RNAcentral's name for it is "SSU rRNA". It matches the Rfam family "Eukaryotic small subunit ribosomal RNA", at positions 548 to 1098 of the family's 1831-position model. The record is from RNAcentral. Lineage: Eukaryota; Fungi; Glomeromycota; Glomeromycetes; Glomerales; Glomeraceae.